AGUACCGGGCACUGUGUGGCGUGCUUAUGCGCUCUGGCUCAUUGCACCCUCUCAGCAAGCCCGACAGUAGAGGCUGCUUUAAAUUCCUACUUUAUAGGUAAGGAGAAGGGGGGCGCAGAGAGAUAAGAACUGUCCCCUUGCUGCAGUCAGGCUUCCAGCCUCAGCCCCUUGCCUUGAAAAGGACUGAACCAAUCCCAUCCUCUUUUUUCUUUUUUUAAAGGAAUGUGGUGACAAGGAGCCCACACAGACCUCAACUUCCACCAGCCUGAAAAUGAUGCUCCCAAUUCUGCCCUUCAAACCUGUUUGUCUUGGAUUUCUUAUUUGUUUUUAUUUUAUUUCAUUAUUUUAUUUAAUGUUUUGAGACAAAGGUCACUCUGUUGCCCAGGCUGGAAUGCAGGGGCGCCAUUAUAGCUCACUGUAGCCUCUAUCACCCCAGCUCAAGUGAUCCUUCUACCUCAGCCUCCUGAGGAGCUGGGUCUAUAGGUGCAUGCCACCACACCUGGCUAAUUUUUUAAUUAUUUGUAGAGAUGAAGUCUCAUUACGUUGCCCAGGCUGAUCUUGAACUCCUGAGCUCAAGCAAUCCUCCUGCCUGGGCCUUCUAAUGUGCUGGGAUUACAGGCAUGAGCCACGGCGCUUGGCCUUGAAUUUCUAAUGUCACUGAAUCACUGAAUCAGAAAUUUAGAAAGGGGUCCAAACUGCCCACUGCCUCUGGACUGUUCUCCUGGCAGCCUAGGAAGUGUAGGCUCUUCCUGCCUGUAGCUCCAACCAGGCCAGGCCAGCCUAGUCCCCUCCAGAUUGUUCUGGAUAUAGGAGGUGACCCUGCAUCUUGACUGCCUGCCUCAGAGGUCUCAAAAAUUUUGCCCUCAGGACCCCUUUAUGAUCUGAAAAAUUAUUGAGAACUCCAAAAAGCUUCUGUUUCUGUGAGUUAUGGCUGUUAAUAGUUACUGUAUUAGAAAUUAAAACUGAGAAAAUAAAAAACCAUUAUUUUAAAACAAUAGUAAACCCAUGACAUGUUCACAGAAACAGUUUUAUAAAAAAUAACUGUAUUUUCCAAAACCAAACAUAACUAGAAUAGUGACAUUGGUUCACAUUUUUGCAAAUCUCUUUAGUGUCUGCUUUAAUGAAAGCCAGCUGGCUUUUUCUGCUUCUGCAUCCAAUCUGUCAUGAUACCACUGUAGCUUCUGGAAAACUCCACUAGUGGCCCUGGAGGGAGAGAGCGUGAAAGAGGCAAAUAAUAUCUUAGUAUAUUAGGACAAUAGUUGUGACUUUAGAAACCCCUGUAAGGGUCUGAGACUUUUGGGAAGUCUCCAGACCAAGUCUUGGACUGCUUGAUUUUCAUUUCCAAUUCAUAUUCUGCCAAACAUUACUGCUUUGUGCUCACUCAUCUAAAUAAAGCUUGUAAGGGUCCUGGACAUCAAACAGUAAAAUAGGUAACUCCCUAAACCAAAUAAAAUGGAGCCAUUUGAAAAAUAUUUUCUUCUUAUUUCAAUUCAGUAUCUUCCUAACUACAAUAAAAUCAGAAAAUUGUGAAUACCUAUGAGCUUGUAUACCCAAAGACACUCAUCAGUACCAAUGUGAGUAUAUGAAACUGACAAUAUACCAGGGCAAGAGAGUCCCUGCCUAUGGUAGGCAGAAAAAUUCCCCUGCCUCCAAGAUGCUCACAUCUGAAUUUCUGGAACCUGUGAAUAUGUUGCCUUACACAGCAAAAGGGAAUUAGUAGUUAUGUCAACAUUAAGAAUCUUAAAAUGGAGUGAGCAUCCUGGGUUAUCCAGGUGGGCCCAGUAAUAGUCAUGUUUAUCAUUAAAAGAAAGGAGACCCUUUCUCACCUGUGGUCAGAGGGAAAUAUGACUAUGGAAGGAAGGGUGGUCAGAGAGAUGCAAUGAUGCUGGCUUUGGGGAUUCAAGAAGGAACCACAAGCCAAGGAAUGUGAAUGCCCUCUAGAAGAUGCAUCAGGCGAAUUAGUGGAUUGUUCCCUGGAGCCUCCAGAAAGGAAUGCACCUUGCCAACACCUUGAUUUUAGCCCCGUGAGAACUUGUUGGCCUUCUGACUUCCAGAACUGUAAGAUAAUACAUUUCUGUUGUUUUAAGCCAUUACGUUUGAGUUAAUUUGUUACAUCAGCCAUAGGAAACUAACACACUGCUUCUGCCUUCUCUUUCCUCCACUAGAAUUUGGGGUGUCCCAGGCUGUGCAGGGCAGGCCAACAGAGAAGUCCAGGGGGGCUAACGGAAAUGAGGAGUUCAAGUAUACAGCCUCUCUAAUCAAUGAGCUGAGACCCCUGUCUAUUGUCCUUAAACAAGGCUACAUCAAGGUCUGGGUAUCCCCAGACGAUACCCAUUACCCUAUACCUAGGAAGAGGAAAGUGUACAUUGACACGUCGGAAGCUCUUGCUCAAAACCUGUUUGGAGAGUGCUGGCUUGCUUUCUUAUGAAGUGUAUUAGUCUGUUCUCCUAUGGCUAUAAAGAAAUACCUGAGACUGGGUAAUUUAUAAAUAAAAGAUGUUUAAUUGACUCACAGUUCCUCAGGCUGUACAGGAAACAUGAUGCUGGCAUCUGUGUGGCUUCUGGGGAGACCUCAGGAAACUUACAAUUAUGGCAGAAGAUAAAGAGUGAGCAGGCAUGUCACAAGACCAGAGCAGGAGCAAAAGAGUGAGGGAGGAGGUGACACACUUUUAAACAACCAGAUCUCACAAGCACUCACUCACUAUCUCGAGGACAAUACCAAGGCGGUGGUGCUAAGUCAUUCAUAAGAAAUCCGCCCCAUCAUCCAAUCACCUCCCACCAGGCCCCACCUCCAACACUGGGGAUUACAUUUCAAUAUGAGAUUUGGGCAGAGACCCUCGAUGUCUUAAGUGAAAUAAGAGAAUAAUGAUUGUGUUAUAUUGUGGACAGACAUGUUCUGCCUGGGGAAAGAAAUAACAGGACAAUCCACUUUCUUCCUGAUUGUCACCACAUGAAAUAGUUACCUGGUUGAUCCCACAGAGCUUGGCCAUGGACCAUACACAAAAUAUGACUUCCUGAUAGCUCGGGGCCCAGGACUUUUCCAAACUUCCAAGAACACCACUCUCAGUGGAAGGCUCGAAGCAGUGCAGGUAAGAGUUGAACAUUACUUGGCAAUGUAUUUGAUGGGCAAGAAAGGCACGCUAGGUGUCUGCUUAGGUAUCCUGAAAUUUCUGAAGUUUAUUUUUUAAUUUAAAAAAAAUUUUUUUUUAGAGAGGGUGUCACUAGGUCACCUAGGCUGGAACACAGUGGCAUGAUCUUCGCUCACUGCAGCCUCAGCGUGACCUCAGGUGAUCCUCUCGUCUUAGCCUCCCAAGUAGCUGGAACUACAGGCAUAGGCCACCACACCCAGCUAAUUUUUUGUGAUUUUUGUAUAUACAGGAUUUUGCCAUGUUGCCAAGGCUGGUCUCAAACUUCUGCACUCAAGCAUUCUACCUGACUCAGCCUCCUAAAGUGAGUUUCUAAAGCUUUACAAUGAAAAAAAAAAUCAAAGUCCUGGCUUGCCAAGUGAGGGGAGCCAUCUCUACUUUGAUGGACACUGAGACAUCAGAGAGGUAGCACCUCCCCACCCGGAGGUCCCAGUCAAGGAGACCUGCCUGUCACAAUGAAGCCUAAGAAAUAAAAAUUAAAUUCUAAGCCCCCACAACUGACUGAAUGAACCAUCUCUUGGGCAAGGAGACCCCAACCUUGAAAACUGAGUUCUCAGGUAUGACAGUAUAGGAGGUUGAACACACCACCUUAUACCUCCUUCCUCAUAAGCCACCAUGAGCCUUUCUUCCCUAAGGGCUAAACAGAAACCAGCCCUUUCAAAAGACCUCACCACUACUGUCAACUAACUGCCUGAUGCUGCUCCUCCUUUUUUGCCUAAUAAGAGACUACUGACCAGGGAGUGGUUCCAACCAGUCUAAUGGGAGAAUGCCUAUUAAGGGUUUGUGUGUCCUCUGCUUCACCUUUGGGCAUCAGAUGGCCCAAAACUCCACCCUCAGAUCAUGCUAACACUGCCAUUUUUUUGUGCAUGGGACUCCAGAAGUGGCAUGAAGUUCAAUCGUGUAUAUUUCUCCUUUUGUAAAUAUUCAUGACUCCUCCUAUAGCUUAUAGAAUAUAUAUAUUCAGCUACCAUGCUCAGCAUAAAUUCCUGUUCCCCUUGCCUCUCCCCUAAGGUUUUUGUUGUUGGCUUUUGGCCAGACUCUGCUUCCUAGCCUAUCAGAAUGGUCACCCUGCAGGCGGCAGUGGUUUAUGAGAAAUAAAGCUCUCCUUUCCAGAUUUAUGAACCUUCACAUUCUUCAGUUGACAGGCCAUAUGGACUCUAUCACCACCUCUGACUGGCAGGUUCAGACCUACCCCAAGAUGCCUUGGGACUUGGCUUGCAUGUCUCGUUCAGCAUAAGGUCCUCUGCUCCUCGGGUACCUGGUCUGAAGACCCUCUGGGUACAGCUUCCGCAGAGCAAAAAGUGCCUCUGCCAUCGGACCAUGCUUUCACAUCUUACCUGCCUUCUCUGCAACUUCAGUGCCCCUGCCCUCAGCAGAGGGGACAAAACAAGCAGAGUCAGUUCAUCAUCUGAGAACAUGCUCCAUUCUGGAACCUUUUCUUAAAUAUCUCAUCUGUGUCAGGUGCUGUGUUCAGGCUUAGGGAAACACAGGUGAAUAAAACACCAUCUCCAACACAGACUCACAGGAUUGUAAGAUUAACAAGGGACCCCAGCAGUCAAUCUGCAAUUCACUAAACUUUAAGGAGCACUUACUAAGAUCCAGGCAUUAGGUAUAUGGAGGUAAAGCAGACAUUUCUAUGCCCUUCAGGAGCUCACAGCUAAAUCAAUGCAUGCAGGGAACUGUGGCAGCUGUAAAAAAGGCAGAAGAGCAGUUGGGGACUCAGAAGGAAGUGACUGCCCAA
RNAcentral lists this long non-coding RNA (4886 nucleotides) under Homo sapiens (human). RNAcentral describes it as "non-protein coding lnc-CD38-12:3". Lineage: Eukaryota; Metazoa; Chordata; Mammalia; Primates; Hominidae. The record is from RNAcentral.